GUUAAGACAAAAAUCUCAAAAUGACUGUGUUUUCUGCCUCCUGGGUCUCAAAGGCAGGUGCAAUGCCCAGAGGCUGGUCCUGCACAGAGGGACCCAGGGCGUGCUGGCCUUCCCAGUGUCCCACUGGUGGCUGAUCUAAGCAGUGCUUUCCCUCGUUUUUUUAUUUUGAGACAGAGUCUUGCUCUGUCCCCCAGGCUGGAGAGCAACGGCACGAUCUCGGCUCACUGCAGCCUCCCGCUUCAGCCUCCCAGAUAGCUGGGAUUACAGGCGUGCGCCCUCAUGCCUGGCUAAUUUUUGUAUUUUUAGUAGAGACGGGGUUUCACCUUGUUGGUCAGGCUGGUCUCCAGUUCCUGGCCUCAAGUGAUCCGCCCGCCUCGGCCUUCCAAAGUGCUGGGACGACAGGCGUAAGCCUCUGCGCCCGGCCUCCCCAUUGUUUCUAAUGGUCCCUCAGUGCCCACCAGGUGAUGGUGGCAGAUUUUCCAUCCGCAUUGCUCCUGGACAUGCGGAUGUAGGUUUCAGCAGUUCCCAUCAUUAGACACAGUUGCCGUAGGCUGGGUUCUUAGUAGCAGGCUCAAUGGGGCCUUUGAGUCUUUCCAUGGCUGGUGCCCGCCGGACUCACUGAGGGAAACUAAUGGGGAAGCACUGGUCUCCAUUCCCUGCACGCACGGCCCGCUGCUGCGAUGGUGAAGGGAUAAGGUCGUAUUCACGCGUCGAAGUUUGUGUCCACUGCACACGCGGCUCACUGCUGCGAUGGUGGAGGGAUAAGGUCGUAUUCACGCGUUGAAGUUGGUGCCUCUCAGUAUCGCUUUAUGUUUGUUGGCCACUUGGUGGUCCUUGUAUGAGCUGUCCACUCCUUGUUGAUUGGCCAGAGCUCUUUACAUGGGGAGGACCAUGGGCCCUCAUCUGGCAGGUGUGCAGGCACCCACGCACUCUCUUGUCCCUUGCAGCGGCUGGCUGUCGGCAAUUGGAUUCUUCCAGUACAGCCCGGGCGCUGCCGUGGUCAUGCUGCUUCCAGCCAUCAUGUUCUCCGUGUCGGCUGCCAUGAUGGCCAUCGCGAUCAUGAAGGUGCACAGGAUCUACCGAGGGGCCGGCGGAAGCUUCCAGAAGGCACAGACGGAGUGGAACACGGGCACUUGGCGGAACCCACCGUCGAGGGAGGCCCAGUACAACAACUUCUCAGGCAACAGCCUGCCCGAGUACCCCACUGUGCCCAGCUACCCGGGCAGUGGCCAGUGGCCUUAGAGGGAUCCAGCCCUGCCCCCACCGCCCACCACCUCCUCCCCUUCAUUCCUGCUGCUACCCCUGGUCCCGAGGGCUGGGAGUACCUGGGGCCCCAUCCCCCAAGCUGGGAUGGUGGAAGCCGGUGGUGGCCACAGACCGCCCCCCUCCUGCCAGGGCCACAGAACCCGUGUUCAUCUCAUCCGAGAGCGGAGUUCCUCACAAGCACUCCCCAGGAGCCCUUGGCCUCUGCCGUCCACAGGACGCCCUCUUGCUCCCGGAAACGUGUGGUCACCCGCCGUCCACUGCACGGCUGGUACGGCCUUGUCUUCAGGUCUCGAGGCCUGACUCCGGGGGACAGGUGGCAGCAGGUCGGCCGCCCUCCCAUCCUCCCAGAGCUGCAGGCGCUGAGGUCAGAGCGGGUCUGAUGGGGAGCUCCGUCUCACACCGGCCACCCGCCGUCACCAUGGCAGAUGCCCUUGGCCGGAACUAAUAAGAGGCGUCGGGGCCAGCUUCCGGUCCCCUGCAGUGAUAGAGGGCUUGGUGCCUAGCCGAGUCCUCGCUGUCCCUGCCAUCCCCUGAUCUGUGUGGCUCCAGCCUCGCCCCCUCCCCACGUGCACCAUACCUGGGGAGUUCCUGGUCCAGGGUGUCCUGGGGCCACCCUCCCUGCCUCCAAAACAGGGAUCCCUGGCAGGCUGUCUUUCCACGCCCCUGAGUUCAGAGUCGGGGACCCAGGCCAGGUCGGGAGCACAGCCGCUCCCCAAACCCAGCAGACCGGCAGAGAGCCGGUUUACCAGCAGCCGGAGCCCUGCAGGAGAGGCCUUUUUGUUUUGUUUUGUUUUGUUUUUUCUCUUUUGAGACAGAGUUUCACUCUGUCGCCCAGGCUGGAGUGCAGUGGUGUGAUCUCGGCUCACUGCAACCUCUGCCUCCCGUGUUCAAGCAGUUCUCCUGCCUCAGCCUCCCAAAUAGCUGGGAUUACAGUUGCCUGCCACCGCGCCCAGCUAAUUUUUAUAUUUUUAGUACAGAUGGGGUUUCACCAUGUUGGCCAGGCUGGUCUCGAACUCCUGACCUCAAGUGAUCCACCCGCCUUGGCCUCCCAAAGUGCUGGGAUAAGAGGUGUGAGCCACCACGCCCAGCCUGGAGUGGCCUUUUAUGAGAGGGGACCCGUCAAAUCUGUGCCUUAUGGAGGGGUCCGGCAGCGGCCACAAUUGUCUUGUCCCCUCACCCCCCAACUCCCCCUGGAACACCUCUCCCAGGCAAGACAUUUCCACAGCACCAUUCACAACGGUUGGGCCAAAAAGAAACUUUUCCUUCAUCAUUUCCUGCACUCGCUGACCACAACUUUGGACACCCCAGGCUGCCACCCCUCACCACCCGUUCACCCCCAGGAUGCUGUUGCUGUAGGACGCCUGCUGCCCUGGAGCCCUCCCCGGGAUGUGGGCCAGUCCCCUCGCUGGUGCGGAAUGCCGCUGGGUGCCCGGAGGCAGCCAUGGUGUCUCGAUGGACGGCAGCCAGGAUGGAGCACCCAUGGGUCUCACGGCCAUGCUCCAGGGUCUUCAGGUCCUGCCCCCGGCCAAUCUGCCAAGAGGCACCCCCUUCCCCAGCCUCUCGCCUGCACUGAUGCAGACAAAAUCUCACCUGGCAGGCCCAUCCCCCCCACCCCUCCCCCACCGUGUGUGGCCCCUCGCCGCAUCGUUGGGGUUUUGUUACGUGAAAAUAUCCUGGAAAUACAUGUUUCUG
Molecule: small RNA, 2958 nt
Filed under: Pan troglodytes (chimpanzee)
Lineage: Eukaryota; Metazoa; Chordata; Mammalia; Primates; Hominidae
Description: retained intron
Source: RNAcentral